Long non-coding RNA from Scleropages formosus (Asian bonytongue), 1047 nucleotides. RefSeq lists it as uncharacterized. The record is from RefSeq and is a predicted model, not a curated record. The transcript is spliced from 3 exons. NCBI's taxonomy places the organism in Eukaryota, Metazoa, Chordata, Actinopteri, Osteoglossiformes, Osteoglossidae.
GAGCAAGACACGGCGCUGCAGUGACCUCAUGCUGAGUUCACCAUGGAUAUGGCGUGACAGGAAUGGGUCUCAGUCCACAUGUGGCUGCUUUGACAUUUCAGCGCCCGUGAUAUCACCGCUUCUCCCGACGGUGCCCGGUUGAGAGGUACGUGUGCGCUCACCCACACGACAGGCUGCCUGUGUGCACGUGCAUGUGAGCAAACAGAACACGACUGCGUGACCCUCUGUGCAACAAGACUCUCUGAUGGUGUGUUUAGAAUCAUCCGACUGUUCGGUGAGCCACAACGAACUCAGAGACAUGCGUUACUAUGGAAACGUAGUACAAGCACAGAGGGCAGGACCAGCAGCAGCAAUAAUAGUCACAUAUCCCUGACAAUUCUUACCGGACAGACAAUUUAAGUGUGUUUGUGACGCUAAGAAAAAAAAAAGAACUCUCCGGAAAUUCUGCUGGACCAGUGGGAAACAGGCGGGGGGGGUGUCCCCUUUGAGCGUCAGUGUGUCCAAUGUGCGUCAUGGUUUUGUAGGCAUUUGUCGAAGCCCCGCCCCCAAAUACAUGGCAUCAUGUAAAAGCACAGAAAGUGCUCUAUAGGCCCAUUGGCACUUACCGCUGUAUCACGUACAGCUUGGGAGAUGCACUGCAAAAGGGUACGUCCUCUCGAGUGGACAAAAAUGAACAGAAGCAGCAAGCACAUGACACGGGGGAAUGGCAGCGAGCGGCUUGUGAAGAGCGCGGCUGUGUGCGUCACGCUCUCAGCGGUGUGUGGCUCAAGCGCAUGGUCCUCCUUGUUGCGUGAACCCCCCCAGAGAAAGAACCAUCGCGGAAAAAGUUAGAAUUCCCGCCUGAUGAUGCAGAGGGCCGCGAGCCCACGCUGUCACUGCCGGGCUCCGUUUGGACUCCUGCUCUGUGGUCCACGUGUGAGCCGUCGUCUCCAUCACCAGGCGCACAAGGCAGUCAGCGCACCAACUCACCUGCGCGGUCCAGUCGGCACGAGAGCCGCCAGGACAGCAGAAGCAGGACCCCCGCGAAGCCCAUCUGGCUCCCCAGAA